GAUGAACGCUGGCGGCGUGCCUAAUACAUGCAAGUCGAGCGAACAGACGAGGAGCUUGCUCCUCUGACGUUAGCGGCGGACGGGUGAGUAACACGUGGAUAACCUACCUAUAAGACUGGGAUAACUUCGGGAAACCGGAGCUAAUACCGGAUAAUAUAUUGAACCGCAUGGUUCAAUAGUGAAAGACGGUUUUGCUGUCUCUUAUAGAUGGAUCCGCGCCGCAUUAGCUAGUUGGUAAGGUAACGGCAUACCAAGGCAACGAUGCGUAGCCGACCUGAGAGGGUGAUCGGCCACACUGGAACUGAGACACGGUCCAGACUCCUACGGGAGGCAGCAGUAGGGAAUCUUCCGCAAUGGGCUAAAGCCUGACGGAGCAACGCCGCGUGAGUGAUGAAGGUCUUCGGAUCGUAAAACUCUGUUAUUAGGGAAGAACAAAUGUGUAAGUAACUAUGCACGUCUUGACGGUACCUAAUCAGAAAGCCACGGCUAACUACGUG
RNAcentral lists this ribosomal RNA (497 nucleotides) under uncultured bacterium. RNAcentral's name for it is "partial 16S ribosomal RNA". It matches the Rfam family "Bacterial small subunit ribosomal RNA", at positions 28 to 507 of the family's 1533-position model. The record is from RNAcentral.